AUGGAGAAGAUGGCGCCAGAAACGCCUGCUCGUUCCAACACUGAACGCGCACGAAAGGCUCCGGUACCACCUCCUACGUUCCACCCUAGCCUCUGGGGUGGUUUCUUCCUCACUUACCAACCACCCACUGCCCCUCAGCGUGCAUGCAUGGAAGGAAAGGCUGAAGUGCUGAGAGAAGAAGUUAGGAAGAUGGUAAAUAAAACACAUGAAUUACCAAAAUUAUUGGAUCUUAUAAUGACAUUACAACGGCUCGGGCUGGACAUCUACUAUGAGAACGAGAUCAACGAGCUGCUCCACCGUGCCUACAAGUCUGAUUACAAUGAGGAAGAUCUACAUUUAGUUUCACUCCGAUUUUAUCUUCUGCGGACGAAUGGAUAUGAUGUAUCAGCUGAUGCAUUCCUUCGUUUCAAAGACGAUGAAGGGAAUUUUAUGCUCGACAAUACAAGAAGUAUUCUGAGCUUAUAUAAUGCAGCAUACCUUAGGACACAUGGAGAGCAGGUGCUCGAUGAGGCCAUAAUAUUCACAACAAGACACCUAGAAGGUGUAUUACAACAAUCAUCACCACUAGCAAAUGAAAUAUCUCUAGCCCUUGAAGCACCACUUUUCCGAAGGGCUCGCAUAGUAGAAAUGAGAAGCUACAUCCAUAUUUAUGAUAAUGGUGCUACAAAAAAUGAAGCCAUAUUGGAGUUCGCAAAAUUGAAUUUCAAUCUUCUGCAACUUCUUUAUUGUGAGGAGCUAAACAACAUCACACUUUGGUGGAAGGAGCUCCAUGAAGAAUCAAAGUUAGAAUUUUCUAGAGAUAGAAUAGUGGAAAUGUAUUUUUGGAUGAAUGGAGCAUGUUAUGAACCUCAAUAUCAUAACUCACGGAUUAUACUUACAAAGAUGACAGCAUUUAUGACCGUACUAGAUGAUAUCUUUGACACAUAUGGUACCACCGAAGAGAGCAUGCAACUUGCCGAAGCAAUCAACAGGUGGGAUGAAAGUGCAACGGAACUGCUUCCAUCAUACAUCAAGGGGUUCUACUUAUAUUUAUUGAAGACAUUUCAUUCAUUUGAGAAUGAACUAGGACUUGGGAAGAGCCACCAUGUGCACUAUCUAAAAGAAGCGUUGAUGCGAUUAGUUCAAGCGUACACGGAGGAGCUAAAAUGGCGUGAUGGAAAUUAUGUGCCAAAAACACUGGAAGAACAUCUUGGGGUUUCAGCGAGGAGCAGUGGAGGCUUCACACUUGCGUCUGCUUCAUUAUUUGCUGGAGUAGGCGGCAUAGCAACAACAGACACGUUCGAGUGGAUUCUGAACUAUCCGCAACUUUUCAAGACCUUUGAUAUGUUUGUACGGUUCUCCAAUGACAUCGUAUCAAGCCAGCGUGAGCAAACCGGGGACCACUACGCCUCUACGAUCCAGUGCUACAUGGAAGAGCACGGCGUGAUGGUGCAGGACGCCCGCGAGAAGAUCAAAGACCUCGUCGAGGACUCGUGGAAAGACAUGGUGCGACACUGCGUCGCGCCGACCGAGCGGCAGCAGCCGCUGGCCGUGCCGCGGACGGUCGUCAACUUCGCGAGGACGGUGAAUAACAUGUACAAGCGCGGCGACGCCUUCACUUCCUCGCACGAGAUCAAGGAGAUGAUCACGUUGCUCUACGUGGAACCAAUUGCUUAA
Molecule: ribosomal RNA, 1656 nt
Filed under: Triticum aestivum (bread wheat)
Lineage: Eukaryota; Viridiplantae; Streptophyta; Magnoliopsida; Poales; Poaceae
Description: partial small subunit ribosomal RNA
Source: RNAcentral